RNAcentral lists this small nuclear RNA (107 nucleotides) under Balaenoptera musculus (blue whale). Lineage: Eukaryota; Metazoa; Chordata; Mammalia; Artiodactyla; Balaenopteridae. The record is from RNAcentral.
GUGCUUGCUUCGGCAGCACAUAUACUAAAAUUGGAACAGUACAGAGAAGAUUAGCGUGACCCCUGUGCAAGGAUGACACAUAAAUUCGUGAAGCGUUCCAUGUUUUU